Molecule: ribosomal RNA, 367 nt
Filed under: Escherichia coli
Lineage: Bacteria; Pseudomonadati; Pseudomonadota; Gammaproteobacteria; Enterobacterales; Enterobacteriaceae
Description: partial 23S ribosomal RNA
Rfam family: Bacterial large subunit ribosomal RNA
Source: RNAcentral
CAUAGGUUAAUGAGGCGAACCGGGGGAACUGAAACAUCUAAGUACCCCGAGGAAAAGAAAUCAACCGAGAUUCCCCCAGUAGCGGCGAGCGAACGGGGAGCAGCCCAGAGCCUGAAUCAGUAUGUGUGUUAGUGGAAGCGUCUGGAAAGGCGCGCGAUACAGGGUGACAGCCCCGUACACAAAAAUGCACAUGCUGUGAGCUCGAUGAGUAGGGCGGGACACGUGGUAUCCUGUCUGAAUAUGGGGGGACCAUCCUCCAAGGCUAAAUACUCCUGACUGACCGAUAGUGAACCAGUACCGUGAGGGAAAGGCGAAAAGAACCCCGGCGAGGGGAGUGAAAAAGAACCUGAAACCGUGUACGUACAAG